AUCCUUCUGUAUGCGUGCUGAGAUUUCGUCAGCAAUCAACCCGCUGGCAUUGGCUGAUGAAACUCCGUAAAUAAGCGAAGUG
RNAcentral lists this microRNA precursor (82 nucleotides) under Trichobilharzia regenti. RNAcentral's name for it is "mir-3492 microRNA precursor family". It matches the Rfam family "mir-3492 microRNA precursor family". Lineage: Eukaryota; Metazoa; Platyhelminthes; Trematoda; Strigeidida; Schistosomatidae. The record is from Rfam by way of RNAcentral.